AGGUCCCGCCUGCCCUGUGACCACAAGUUUAACGGCCGCGGUAUUUUGACCGUGCAAAGGUAGCGUAAUCACUUGUCUUUUAAAUGGAGACCUGUAUGAAUGGCAUAACGAGGGCUAAGCUGUCUCCUUUUCCCAGUCAAUGAAAUUGAUCUUCCCGUGCAGAAGCGGGAAUAAUAACAUAAGACGAGAAGACCCUAUGGAGCUUUAGACACAAGGCAGCCAACGUUAAACACCCCUCAUUAAGGGGCACAACUGAAUACCGCCUGCCCCACUGUCUUUGGUUGGGGCGACCGCGGGGCAACAAAAAUCCCCCACGUGGAAUAGGUUUAAUCCUUAAAACCAGAGCUUCAGCUCUAACAAACAGAAUAUCUGACCAGCAGAUCCGGCACAGCCGAUCAACGGACCGAGUUACCCUAGGGAUAACAGCGCAAUCCCCUUUCAGAGCCCAUAUCGACAAGGGGGUUUACGACCUCGAUGUUGGAUCAGGACCCCCUAAUGGUGCAGCCGCUAUUAAGGGUUCGUUUGUUCAACGAUUAAAGUCCU
Molecule: ribosomal RNA, 543 nt
Filed under: Buenia affinis (De Buen's goby)
Lineage: Eukaryota; Metazoa; Chordata; Actinopteri; Gobiiformes; Gobiidae
Description: partial 16S ribosomal RNA
Rfam family: Bacterial large subunit ribosomal RNA
Source: RNAcentral